GGUCUCGUGGCCGAGUGGCUAGGCACUGGUCUGCAAAACCACCUACAGCAGUUCGAUUCUGCUCGAGACCUCCA
This 74-nucleotide transfer RNA is filed under the name bacterium. RNAcentral describes it as "tRNA-Cys". It matches the Rfam family "tRNA". From Rfam's summary of the family: Transfer RNA (tRNA) molecules are approximately 80 nucleotides in length. Their secondary structure includes four short double-helical elements and three loops (D, anti-codon, and T loops). Further hydrogen bonds mediate the characteristic L-shaped molecular structure. tRNAs have two regions of fundamental functional importance: the anti-codon, which is responsible for specific mRNA codon recognition, and the 3' end, to which the tRNAs corresponding amino acid is attached (by aminoacyl-tRNA synthetases). tRNAs cope with the degeneracy of the genetic code in two manners: having more than one tRNA (with a specific anti-codon) for a particular amino acid; and 'wobble' base-pairing, i.e. permitting non-standard base-pairing at the 3rd anti-codon position. The record is from RNAcentral.